UGUCAAAAUUCUUUUUAGCCUAGGGAAAAAAAUACUCCUUUGCUUAAGUGCCACAUUGCUACAUUUACUUCUGCAGGUUAAUAUAGGAAAUAUAAGCGCCACUGAUCAAGAGGUGGAGAACAUACCGAAACCUGAGAUACUGGCAAAACAGCAGAACUCCUUCAGAGAAACCCUCCCAUCCAGGGUCAAUGAUCAAUGAGACCAAUGAAAAGCAUGUUUUUGGCCCUGGGGAGACUCUGCACCCGUGGCAGUAGAGCUAAGUUCUUGAAGACAAUUUAUGCUUCAGAAAUCCUUGGACUCUCUACUUCUGCUAUUCCACAAAUGAGCGAUCUCAUAUGGCAUUUUUCUUUCUCUUUCUGGCUUACUUCACUUAGAAUGAACAUAGGCAAAACAUUAUCUGUCAUACAUUUCAAAAACUUUCUCCUAGAAGAAAUAAAAGCAAGAAUAAACAAAUGGGACCUAAUGAAACUUACAAGCUUCUGCACAGCAAAGGAAACCAGAAGUAAAACAAGAAGAAAACCUACGGAAUGGGAGAAAAUUUUUGCAAGUGAAACCGACAAAGGCUUGAUCUCCAGAAUAUAUAAGCAGCUCAUACGACUCAAUAAGAAAAAAAUAAACAACCCAAUCCAAAAAUGGGCAGAAGACCUAAACAAGCAAUUCUCCAAGGAAGACAUACAAAUGAUCAAAAAGCACAUGAAAAAAUGUUCAAUAUCACUAAUUAUCAGAGAAAUGCAAAUCAAAACUACAAUGAGGUAUCACCUCACACCAGUCAGAAUGGCCGUCAUUCAAAAAUCCACAAAUGACAAAUGCUGGAGAGGCUGUGGAGAAAGGAGAACCCUCCUUCACUGCUGGUGGGAAUGCAGUUUGGUGCAGCCACUAUGGAAAACAGUGUGGAGAUUCCUCAAAAGACUAGGAAUAGACUUACCAUAAGACCCAGGAAUCCCACUCCUGGGCUUGUAUCCAGAAGGAACCCUGCUUCAGGAUGACACCUGCACCCCAAUGUUCAUAGCAGCACUAUUUACAAUAGCCAAACCAUGGAAACAGCCUACAUGUCCAUCAACAGGUGACUGGAUAAAGAAGAUGUGGUAUAUUUAUACAGUGGAAUACUACUCAGCCAUAAAAACUGACAACAUAAUGCCAUUUGCAGCAACAUGGAUGCGCCUGGAGAAUGCAAACUUCUUGCAGUAGGAAUUCUUUGUUCUUGAAGCCAUCCGUGUGGGUCAGGCCAUAGUGUCCCUGUAAACCUCCAACAAAACAAAGGUUAUUCUCUAGUUUGCAACUUGCCAUCUCUACAUAAGUGCAGAAGUGCUAACAUCCUUAAAGGUCAGAGCCCAGAGAACAGGCUCUCCUGUCUAUUUCACACUAAAGGCAACAUUGUUUCACAAAAGGUGCACAGCUGGCAAGACGGAGCUUGGGAAACACGGCACACUUUUCAAAACUAAAGGAACAGAUCUAAUACCGAGUCAGAUUUGUUCUCCUCUAUUACAUUAAGAGAAAAGACAGUUAAUAAAAUGUACAUAUGAUUACAAGUGUAAAUAAAUAAGUCAUAGACCUAAAAGAUAGUGGGUGUGUAGCCUACAACAGCAGCCUGGCGCCACACCACAGGACUGCCCACUACACAGGUGCUCACUUUCUGCUCCAGCCUAGUCUUGAAGUACUUGAGUCCAUCUGCUUCUCUUGCCUGGUUAUUGUUUCCACCUUUCCAGCCGUUAGUUUUAUUAUUUCUGUUUCUGGCCUUUUCUUGCACUCUUAAUUUUUUCUACACUUGACUCAUGUUAACAGCCUUGAUUUCCCCAGCUUCAGCCCACCAUUCGGGAAGACUUUCUACACUUGUCCUAUAUUAUCUAAAUGCAUCAAGUUGUAAAGGCAGGGCCCUCCCAUUGUAUACAAUUGAAACGAGUGUUUUGGGGUCUUAGGAUAAUGGGUAAUACUUUUUUUCUUUCCAAACUUUCCUAUUCCAGUUCCACUGCAGUAAACAUUUUUUUUAAGGUGAAAUCUAGUUGACACACAAUAUUAUGUUAGUUUCAGGUGUACUACGUGGUGAUUUGACAUUUGCAUUGAGGUGGGUAGCCCCAGAAAAAAAGACUGGCAGGACCCCCAGUCAGGGCCACUACUCUCCUGCCAGCACCAUCUGGUUCCCUGGCCCAGUGGCUUUAUCUCACUUUUUACCUCUGAAACGGCUAACUUCUAGGAAAGUGGAGCUCACUCCUGAAUGGUCCAUUUCCCUCACUCCUGACUGGUUAUUUCUCUCUCCCCUGAUUGGUCCAUUUCCCUCAUUCCUGAUUGGUUAUUUCUCUCCCCUCUGAUUGGUCCAUUUCUACAAAGGCUGUUUCUAAUUAGUCAAAUUUUCUUAUACUUUAUUUGCAUAUGAAUGUUGCGAAGUGUAAACUGGCAGCCUAUAAAAGCCUGUGUAAACCUACAGAUGGGGUCCAGAGCUUGGAGUGUUAACUACUCUGGGCCCACUGGCGUGAUAAACCAGAGUUCUCCAACUCUUCUAGUGCUGCUUGGUUUCUUGCCCAGAUCCAGGUUGCUGUCACAACUGAGCUGUAACAUGUUUUUCUGCAACAUUUCUGGAGGCCCCAGUGAGAUUCCAACCACCCCGGCCCCUUGAGCCACCAGGACAGUGGAACGACCACCUGGAGGUCGGGAACUCCAAAAGUGAAUGAGGAGGCACGCCACCCAACAGUAUUCCGAGUCCUCCUUCACGGAGGUAAUUCAGUCCUCCGGGUGGCUGUGCCCCAACUGGACUCAGUGGAGGGACAGACCAACUCACCAAGCAAUACGGCCGAACAAGUUGUUGUGAUUGUGGGGGCAUUGGUUGAGUGCAGCUGUGUCCACCUGGCUGGGCUUCAUUGUUGCUGUAGCUACAUCAAGUACACAACAAGCUUCCAGUUCCUCCAAUGGAAUUCUGCCAUGGCAUUGAUCUCAGAGGGAGGUCUGAGGAUUUCCUGGGUAUUCCUGUACCACCAUCAACUUUUAGCAGACCUGCAGACCUGCAUUACAGUCUCUCUCUGUGCCCUUGACCUAUUCCAUUGGUAGACUGCUGCAUUUGUCACUCAAGGCAAGGCUUUGUUGAAGGCCUGUGUGCUCCUAGGUUCUCCAGGUCUUCCUGCUGCACCUCAAACCUUGGGAAGGCCAGUCAGCCUGUCCAGCCAAGGAUGUCACACAUCUCCUUCCCGGCAUCUGCUGUUUCUUACGAGCACCUGAUGGAGGCCAGUGGGACACUUUUUAUGAGUAGGUAUGGAUUCCUCUUAUGCCAAGUUUGCUCAAGAUUCUAGCCCUCUCCAAUGAAAUUAUUCUGUAUGAUACUAUAGUGACUAUAUGUCAUUAUGCAUUUGUCAAAACCCACGGAAUGUACAACAUCCAGAGUACACCCUAAUGGAAACUAUGUACUUUGGUCGGUAAUAAAGGGCCCAUGUUGGUUCACUGAUUGUAGCAAAUAUGCCACAGUGAUGAGGGAUGCUGAGGGUAGAGGAGUAUAUAUGAGGGGGUGGGGAGGGCUAUGUGGGAACUGUCUGUACUCUCUGCUCAAUUUUACUGUGAACCUGAAACUGCUCUAAAAGAAUAGUCUAUUAAAAAUAAAUAAAUCAAAUAAAAUAGAUAAAUUAGAGAAAAGGAUUCUAGCCCUCACUCAGUCUUUAAGAAAUUUAUUAAAAUUUUACUUAAUUUAUUCUAAUGUCUAUAAUUUGCUAAUGGUUAAAAAAUUUAAGUGGCUUCUCAAAGGACAUUUGGACCCUUUGGAAUUCAGUUUCUCUUCUUACCUGGUGACCUAAACUGUCGUGGAUUUUUAAAAGCAUUAUUUUAUAGAUUCUUUGGUUCUUUCUUGAUUUUCAGACUGUGAAAAUAUUUUCUUGGGGCAUUUUGGAGUCCCAGCAACUUGGAACGCGGGUCUCAUUUCUUUUGAGUAGUCAGUCUAGCUUUGUCAGUUUCACAAAAUACCAACAUUUUGAACGCUUUGAUUCUCUUACUGUAGAUUGGUUUUCUGUUUCAUUAAGUAUGCUUUCAUUUUUACUUUGGUUUAUUCUACUUUUUCUGUAUUUGUAUCAUGUGUAGAGAUUGACAUUUAGCUUGUUUUCAACUUUAAUUCUCUACUAGCAUGUGGCUCUGAGGCCACGAAUUUCACUGAAAUUAGUGAUUUGGCUGCAUCCUGAAAGUUUGAUGUAUAGCAUUAUCAGUAUUGUUCAUUUUUAAAUAUUUUAUAAUUUUCAAAAUAAAAUUUUCUUUGACCUAUAGGUUA
Molecule: long non-coding RNA, 4237 nt
Organism: Camelus dromedarius (Arabian camel)
Lineage: Eukaryota; Metazoa; Chordata; Mammalia; Artiodactyla; Camelidae
Exons: 4
Source: RefSeq, a predicted model, not a curated record